This 377-nucleotide ribosomal RNA is filed under the name uncultured organism. RNAcentral's name for it is "partial 16S ribosomal RNA". It matches the Rfam family "Bacterial small subunit ribosomal RNA", at positions 527 to 896 of the family's 1533-position model. The record is from RNAcentral.
AGAGGGUGCAAGCGUUAAUCGGGAUUUACUGGGCGUAAAGGGCGUGUAGGCGGAUACUUGAGUCGGGUUGUGAAAUCCCUGGGGGCUUAACCUAGGGAAUUGCAGUCGAUACUGGGUAUCUUGAGUAUGGUAGAGGAAAGUGGAAUUCUCGGUGUAGUGGUUAAAUACGUAGAUAUCGAGAGGAACAUCGGUGGCGAAGGCGGCUUUCUGGCCCAAUACUGACGCUGAGGCGCGAAAGCGUGGGGAGCAAACAGGAUUAGAUACCCUGGUAGUCCACGCUGUAAACGAUGAGAACUAGAUGUUGGUCAGUUAUUACUGAGCAGUAUCGUAGCUAACGCGCUAAGUUCUCCGCCUGGGGAGUACGGUCGCAAAGAUUA